Molecule: ribosomal RNA, 206 nt
Filed under: uncultured bacterium
Lineage: Bacteria
Description: partial 16S ribosomal RNA
Rfam family: Bacterial small subunit ribosomal RNA
Source: RNAcentral
CACGUAGGCGGACUGGAAAGUUGGAGGUGAAAUCCCAGGGCUCAACCUCGGAACCGCCUUCAAACUAUCAGUCUGGAGUUCGAGAGAGGUGAGUGGAAUUCCGAGUGUAGAGGUGAAAUUCGUAGAUAUUCGGAGGAACACCAGUGGCGAAGGCGGCUCACUGGCUCGAUACUGACGCUGAGGUGCGAAAGUGUGGGGAGCAAACG